Molecule: ribosomal RNA, 333 nt
Filed under: uncultured bacterium
Lineage: Bacteria
Description: bacterial SSU rRNA
Rfam family: Bacterial small subunit ribosomal RNA
Source: RNAcentral
AUUGAACGCUGGCGGCAUGGCUAAAACAUGCAAGUCGAACGGAUCCGCAAGGAUUAGUGGCGGAAGGGUCGUAAUACGAUCGAAUGUACCCCGAGGUGGGGGAUAGGCACGGGAAACUGUGCGUAAUACCCAUAAGCACUCCGGUGGAAAGAUUUAUCGCCUUGGAGCAGCGAUCGUCCUAUCAGGUAGUUGGCGGGGUAAAAGCCCACCAAGCCGAAGACGGGUAGCGGGUGUGAGAGCACGGCCCGCGACAUCGGGACUGAGACACUGCCCGGACUCCUACGGGAGGCUGCAGUAACGAAUAUUCCGCAAUGGGCGAAAGCCUGACGGAGC